UAUUGGGCGUCCAUUUUAUACAUAGUAGAUAUAAACUUAUACUUAUAUGUUAAUAUUCACAAUAGUGUCAUUAGUAAAAUCGUGUUAAUUUGACGUCAUUUUUGAUCCAGUGUGGCUUAGAAAAAGUUAAAAGUCGACGCAUAUUAAAGAACCGAAUUCAUGGCAUUAAAACAAGGCAAUUCCCAAAACCGACACCUCGGUCGAUCAUGGAGGCACAUAGCAGAAGACAGAUUAUCAAAUCAGGACAAUGUAAUUUUAUCAACAGUUAAGCAAUUAGUGGAGAGUGGCUUAGAACAGAGUCAUCAGACUAAAUUUAAAAGAAGUGACAUGGAUGCUUCGAAGAAAUACACUUUUGAUCUUCACGUUCCCACUGGUAAGAAGUCAAAACUAGGGAUCAAGUUGACACGGAAGUUGACGGUGGAUGAAACGAGGCUGACUAUCAGACGUAUAGAUGCCAGAGAUUUGCCUUAUUCAGCUUGUAAAAGACAGCAAGGGACAGAGGAAUCGAAUAUAGAUAAACUUUAUUGUAAUUUGUUCGGACCCAAUCUUUGCCCUCACUGUAUCCAGGUCGCAGAUCAAGCUGAGUUUACCCACAUUCAGGACACAGCUUAUCCUAAAAUAGGCAUCAAUACCCGAUAUAUUGUGGCAGGUGGUAAACUCAAUAAAAAGAAAACAGGAAGUAAAGGUGUAUUUAUUUCCCCUUUUAACCGUCCAGUAGACGUAAAAACCAUAGAACAUGUUGUUUCCGAUGAAGACAUUCAUAAACGAUUACGAGGAAAAUACAUAACUUCAGGCAAUACAUUAGCCAUAAACUAUACUCCGCAUUAAGAAUAGCUGUAAUAAUAAAUAUUUAUGUAUUCUUACAAUGAUAGGAAGCUUUUGUGGCAUGUGAACCUAAUACCGCUAAUAUAUUAAAAAGCCCUCAACAGGGGCGUGUUCAGGAAUUCAAGCAGGGUGUUGUUGGGUGUGUGGGGGUGCCGGUGGGGUGUACAAGAUGGGUCACCGUCAAGUUUGGCCUUAGGUUUGUGGACUUUCUCGAGAAUUUGAUAAAAUCAGAAGCUCUGAGACAAGAUUUCUGCUCAUUUAGAUGUGUGGGGUAAGGCCAAGACGCCUACGGUUGUCGACUGAACGUUCGGCAAACGCACGUUUGGUUGUUCCAAGUUAUUUCGAUGAAUGGAGAAAAAUAAAUACUCUGCCCGAGAAGUCGAGGGUCCGGAACCCCAAUCCCCUCUGGAAACGCACUUGCUUAAGAUUUAAAAACAAAAAUACAACAGCAAUUAUAAGCCGUGUAAACUUUUCAAUAAACCCAGAGUCAGAUUAAGAUCCACGUGGAUCUAGUGCAAGAAAUCUGUCACUCUAUAAACAUUUAAGGAUUCCAAAAAUUGUAAUAAAAUUAAUAUUUUUUA
This is a long non-coding RNA of Patella vulgata (common limpet), 1406 nucleotides long. RefSeq lists it as uncharacterized. Lineage: Eukaryota; Metazoa; Mollusca; Gastropoda; Patellidae. The record is from RefSeq and is a predicted model, not a curated record. The transcript has 2 exons.